UUCACCGCUGCCUCGGUGCAGGUAGGGGAUUGAGCUCGAGCUAGCUCGAAUAAUGGCUCUUUGCUUUUGCAUCAGACUCAGCUCCCUGGUGGUCUUUGGGGAUCACGAAUUCUGGGCAUAACAAAACCAUGAGAAUUUGUAGCACAUGGAGUUAAUAGACUGUUCUGGAAUCAUGUAUCCAGAUUCCCUUCUUACUCUUCCUGCUUGAAUGAGCUGGCCUUCUGGGACAUGCUGACCUUCUACUUCCAGGGUGUUCUUAAGUGUUUAAAGACUCGAAGCACUGCUUUGGGAAAUCUCCCCGGCGUUCUCCUUACUUGUCGCAAGUAAAACCUUCCUUGUCCUAUUCUUUGGCUCAAUUGUGUCUUUUGGCUCAACACCCACCAACAGGCAAGUACAGUUUUGGGUAAUAGAAGGAGGAGGAAGAGAAUGUGGAGGAGGAGAAGGGAACAGAAGAGGGUUGGAAGUUGAAGUGGAGCAGAGCCACUCAAUCUUCAGCUCAGCUCCUGUGGGCAGAGGUGAGACACAAUCAGGGGUGCAGGAAACAGCUGGCACAUGAGUCAUGGUUCCACUGAGGAUCUGUGACUUUCUCAGCAUAGGGAUCGAUGGCAGGCCACGCCCAAGAUGGGCCACUUUGGCAUGAAUAUCACUGUGAGUUAAAAGUAAUCAAAACCCAGCAGAUCCAGGAAAAGUUCUUGCCUCCCCUUGAACUGUCUAAAUUUACAUUGGAAAAAGAGACUGUACCAGGAAGAGAACUAUUAAGAGAGAUUCCUGUUUACCUAAGAAACUUAUCUGUAUCUGCAUAAUAGGGCACCUUUGUUCUCCAAAGCUCUCCUCUCACCUUCUCACCAACGGUCUUCCUCCCCUUUGUAUCCUCAGACCUCUACCCCUUUCCUGAGCUCACAUAAACUUCAUGUUGCCUCACUGUCUUUGAAAUCCUAUGUCUGUGUGGAACCCCUGUAUAUACAAAACUAAAUUUGAUUUUCUCCUGUUAAUCUGUCUCCUGUUAAAUGAGACAGUUUAGUCCAGCUAGAAGAAUCUUGACGGGCAGAGGGAAUUCUUCCUCCCCAACACUAGCCAGCUCCACUUCUGCAUGAAUGCUCACCUUCAGUGGACAGAAGACAAGUUCUGAAGGAGGAGAAAGGAGGGGGGCUUCUCAAGAGAGACAGCAAACUGGGGACAAGAAGGAGUGGCUGUCGGGUCACUGACAAUCGUGUGCUCCCUGGACACAGGAGCCCCAAAGGAGAAACAGGGGAGGUGUUUGGAGCUCAGCUAGCAGGGUGCCCACCCUCAGGGAGCAGGGCAUCUUCCAUGUCCCCAGACCUCCCUGAGGCCCUUCUUGUGGCUCAUUGGUGUUCAGGCCUUGAGCACCCUCAUGUUUCUCUAACAGCCUUUGCUGGGUGCCCCCCAAAUACCAUCACAGCUCUUGAAUUCCUCUCUCCUCAGGACCCAGAUGUGAGCCCCAUCCCCACACAGCCCCACACACUCAUCUGAUGUGCCCUCCCCCAAAGAAACCUCAGCUUCCCUGAGGUAGAAAUCCACUGUCCCUGAUGACCACGUGCCUUUUACUGAGCUUCUCAUUCCUCCACCACACUCUGCCUCCUGUUUCUCUUCUGUCUGGCUGACCUCCAGCAACAUUUCCUGCAUCUACUCUGUGUGCUUCUCGCCUUUCACACCAAACCUCUUGUACUAAGAGAGCUUUGGACUGAGCAUCAAGAUAAUUCCAGGCUGGGACACCCACUGGAUGCAGUGAGUUGGCCAAAUCAUAUCAGUAUCUGGCCUCCAUUUCCUCAUCGGCAACAUGGCUGUGCUGAAAGAACGGAAUAUUUUCUAACAGCACUUUGGGAUCUGAAAUUCUUCCUGUGUUCCUGUCUUCCUGUGUCUUCUUGUGUUCCUGUCUCCUUCCGUCCAUGUGUUCUGCUCCUCCCCACUCGGUAGCCAUGGUUCACCUCACCUUCAUCUCAGCUCCCUGGACCUCCCCUCCCUGUCCUCCUACUCCCCACCCAUUCAAUCCAACUUCAGUCCUUCCUUCCACUUUCACACCUAAGGCAUUGUUUUCUCAUAUGACCCUUGGAUUCCUGUGUGCAAAUAUACCAAACGGUUAUGGAUUCUAUUUCUGGCAAGAAGGCAUGCUCCACAGCUUGCAAAGGGGAUAUAAUAAAAACCUUCAGAAAUGCAA
Long non-coding RNA from Felis catus (domestic cat), 2176 nucleotides. RefSeq lists it as uncharacterized. Lineage: Eukaryota; Metazoa; Chordata; Mammalia; Carnivora; Felidae. The record is from RefSeq and is a predicted model, not a curated record. The transcript is spliced from 2 exons.